Long non-coding RNA from Oreochromis niloticus (Nile tilapia), 1643 nucleotides. RefSeq lists it as uncharacterized. The record is from RefSeq and is a predicted model, not a curated record. The transcript has 2 exons. NCBI's taxonomy places the organism in Eukaryota, Metazoa, Chordata, Actinopteri, Cichliformes, Cichlidae.
GUGUUUAGUACCCAGGUGUGGUGUGGAGUGGAACUUGUUGUUGGUGUCUCUGUGUAAAGAAACUGUAAGUUUGCUUUGUUUCCUCCUUCAACAAUUUGUCUUUAAGAACUUUACUGUUUGUUCAGCUCAUGUUUGAUUUUUUCACACAAACUGUGUGUGUUUUAUUUCCGGGCAGUCUCUCCAUUAAAAUCAGUGUGUAAUGUUUUCUGGCUAACAUCAGGUGUGUGCAGCAGUUCCAGUACAAAUCUGCAGCUCCAUAGUUUAUGGUAACGGACUCACAACUGGACCAACAAGCCCGAGUUUGUACUUUGUGAGUUCACUCAGAGUCCACAAAGAAUCCAGUGUGCGUGAUGACAUCACAGCUCAGCUGCAGUGUUUUGCUCGCCUUUACCGUGACUGUGAUUAAUAUUUACACACGAGAAACCUGCAGAGUUCUUAAAGACACAGCCCAAAAUGGUUGUAUAUUCUCAAAAACUUUUAUAUUCUCAAGCAUUAAAGCUAAAACAAAAGGGAAAUGUAACAGUAAGAAAACUCCAGUUCAUUCAUAUAUAAGCAUAAAUAAGAGAUUUGGGGAAAAAAUGCGUAAACACUGGACUAAUUUUUUUCAUCAAUUUAACUUUGACUUUCAUGGCAGGGCUGCAAGGAUAAAGUACUCCCCUCCAAAAAACACCGCCUACAGCUAAAUGGCAUGUGGAUAAGUCACAUGACAAGAGAUGAGAAUUAAAUUAGAACAAAGAAUAAAGUUUUUUAAUUUUUUCAGUCAAAAUGUUUUUGUGAAACAUGGCGACUGUAGCUGAGACUGUAGCUUUGGCCUGUUUUACUGUUUCUGGGUCAGAAAGGCUCACCAUUACAAAUGGAAAAAUGACUUCUCAGUUAUACAAACAAUUUAGAACAGCUGUAUGUGGACUGAGACCCUGGAGAAAGAGAGAAAGGGUGAAAGAAGAAGAUGUGGUAGAGGGGAGACCUCAGAUAAUGUUCUGGUUUUGGAGCAGUGAUCAGCUUGUGGGGUUAGUUGAUGGUUCAUCAACUUCACCUUCAGCGAGUGUUUUAUUUUUUGUUUGUUCAGUUUAUUGAAGUUUCAAACAUUCUUCUGAGCUUUUACAACAUCAUGCUUUACAUCACCAUUGAUAGGGGGGCCAUAAAAAACAGACUAAAAAUGUCCAAUAUUUUCAUUUAAAGCUUGACACACUUGAUUCAGAUGAAGUUUUUUGAGCAGAAAACUACUGGAUCUUUAUCCUGUGCUUGAACUAAUGUUUCCUCCAUCGAGUGGACCAGGGGAGCUCAGAGGUUCCCAGUGGUCAGUCUGCCCAGCAGCAUCAAACACAGCUGGACUCCAUAUUUAUGCUGCUGGAGGACAACAUCAUCACUUUUAUGAAGAACGAGCAGAAAAGGAUUCCAGAAGGUUCUGAGUCCAGAUUACCCAGAAUGCUUAGAGAUCUGAAAUCUGCUCUGAAGAAGAAGUUCCAGUGUGUUUUUGAGGGGAUCGCUAAAGCAGGAAGCCCAACCCUCCUGAAUCAGAUCUACGCAGAGCUCUACAUCACAGAGGGAGGGACUGCAGAGGUCAAUGAUGAACAUGAGGUCAGACAGAUUGAAACAGCAUCCAGGAAACCAGACAGACCAGAAACAACAAUCAGACAAGAAGA